CUGGCGGAAUGCUUUACACAUGCAAGUCGAACGAUGAAGCCUAGCUUGCUAGGUGAAUUAGUGGCGGACGGGUGAGUAAUAUAUCGGAACGUGUCCAUUAAUGGGGGAUAACUAGUCGAAAGGCUGGCUAAUACCGCAUACGCCCUGAGGGGGAAAGCUGGGGAUCUUCGGACCUAGCGUUAAUGGAGCGGCCGAUACCUGAUUAGCUAGUUGGUGGGGUAAAAGCCUACCAAGGCAACGAUCAGUAGCUGGUCUGAGAGGACGACCAGCCACACUGGGACUGAGACACGGCCCAGACUCCUACGGGAGGCAGCAGUGGGGAAUUUUGGACAAUGGGGGCAACCCUGAUCCAGCCAUUCCGCGUGAGUGAAGAAGGCCUUCGGGUUGUAAAGCUCUUUCGCAAGGGAAGAAACGAUAUAGGUUAAUAGCUUAUGUUAAUGACGGUACCUUGACAAGAAGCACCGGCUAACUACGUGCCAGCAGCCGCGGUAAUACGUAGGGUGCAAGCGUUAAUCGGAAUUACUGGGCGUAAAGCGUGCGCAGGCUGUUUUGUAAGUCAGAUGUGAAAUCCCCGAGCUCAACUUGGGAGCUGCGUUUGAAACUACAAGACUAGAAUAGGUCAGAGGGGGGUAGAAUUCCACGUGUAGCAGUGAAAUGCGUAGAGAUGUGGAGGAAUACCAAUGGCGAAGGCAGCCCCCUGGGAUCAUAUUGACGCUCAUGCACGAAAGCGUGGGGAGCGAAUGGGAUUAGAUACCCCAGUAGUCCACGCCGUAAACGUUGAAUGCUAAGUAUUGGGAGUUUCGACCCUCCCAGUGCUGUUACUUUAAGUUAACACGUUAAGCAUUCCGCCUGGGGAGUACGGCCGCAAGGCUAAAACUCAAAGGAAUAGACGGGGACCCGCACAAGCGGUGGAGCAUGUGGUUUAAUUCGACAAUAAGCGAGGAACCUCACCAAGGUUUGACAUAUAGCUGCAAGCUCUAGAAAUAGAGUCGCCUUCGAGGGUGCUAUACAGAUGCUGCAUGGUUGUCGUCAGCUCGUGUCGUGAGAUGUACCGUUAAGUCGGAAAACGAGCGCAACCCCUAUCCUAUGUUUUAUGUGUCAUAGGAGACUGCCCGUUUUAAAUGGGAGGAAGGCGGGGAUGACGUCAAAUCAGCAUGGUUCUUACACCUUGGGCAACACACGUGCUACAAUGGGAAGUACAGAGGGACGCCAAACCGUAAGGUGGAGCAAAUCCCAAAAAAACUUCUCUUAGUUCGGAUCGAGGUCUGCAAUUCGACCUCGUGAAGCUGGAAUCGCUAGUAAUCGUGGAUCAGAACGCCACGGUGAAUACGUUCUCGGGUCUUGUACUCACCGCCCGUCACACCAAGGGAGUCGGUAGUGCCCGAAGCCUCUUUUAGGGGUUAAGGUAAGACUGGUAACAAGGGUGAAGUCGUAACAAGGCAUCCGUAGCGGAAGCUGUG
RNAcentral lists this ribosomal RNA (1460 nucleotides) under metagenome. Its description in RNAcentral is "bacterial SSU rRNA". It matches the Rfam family "Bacterial small subunit ribosomal RNA". The record is from RNAcentral.